AAUGAAAUAAAAAUUAUAGAAAAGUAAAUCGAUCUUCCCAUGAAUAAUACAACAUUUUAAUAGUUAAACAAUAUCGGUGACAAUACUGAUCGGAUUAUAUCAAAACAACAAUCGUAUAUUCAAAAGCAUAUUUGUGUUAUCGAAAUAUAGAUGAUUUUUUUUUCAUUUUUAAUAAUAAAAUAAAAACAUUAAAGAGACUGUAAAAUUCGAAAAGGUUUAAUUUUUAAACAAAAAUUUAAUGAAGUGGAUGUAAUUAUGUAUAGAUACUGUACGGCCUUCAACAACUAGAAAACCCCUCGUCGUAUAGUAAAAGACCAAUCCAUGAAAAGUAUGCACUUAUGAAAACUUACGGCUUAAUUAGAACAAAAAUACCCCCCAAAAAAACCGAACUACCUGCAUCUGACUUGGCACAAGCAAAUAAGGAAUGUGGUUGGGUUAAGCAUAUUUGUGAAUGUUCAACCCUCCCAUAUACUAGUACAACACAUCAUUUAAAAUUACUUUACAAAACUCAACAGAUCAUAUUAAAUCAGAAAAACAUCUAACAAAAACACAGUCUAGAAAUAGCAGGGUAUUUAUACAUUCUUUACAACACGAUGACACAAAGUACAAAUCUGAGCUUCUUCGCCGUCAUUGACUGAUAGUUCUUAGCCAAUAAUACCUAACAACAUUUUUUUUUUAUCCAAGGUUAACAUAUCAAUCAUAACACAUCCAAUAUUUAAAAAUAAAUUGACUGCUAGAAAUUUCUCUGGGCACUCUAAAUAUGACUUAAUCAAUCAAUGAAAAC
RNAcentral lists this long non-coding RNA (784 nucleotides) under Mytilus galloprovincialis (Mediterranean mussel). The record is from RNAcentral. Lineage: Eukaryota; Metazoa; Mollusca; Bivalvia; Mytilida; Mytilidae.